RNAcentral lists this ribosomal RNA (274 nucleotides) under uncultured bacterium. Its description in RNAcentral is "partial 16S ribosomal RNA". It matches the Rfam family "Bacterial small subunit ribosomal RNA", at positions 523 to 796 of the family's 1533-position model. The record is from RNAcentral.
AUACGUAGGGUGCGAGCGUUAAUCGGAAUUACUGGGCGUAAAGCGUGCGCAGGCGGCUUUGCAAGACAGAGGUGAAAUCCCCGGGCUCAACCUGGGAACUGCCUUUGUGACUGCAAGGCUAGAGUACGGCAGAGGGGGAUGGAAUUCCGCGUGUAGCAGUGAAAUGCGUAGAUAUGCGGAGGAACACCAAUGGCGAAGGCAAUCCCCUGGGCCUGUUCUGACGUUCAUGCACGAAAGCGUGGGGAGCAAACAGGAUUAGAUACCCUAGUAGUCC